This 420-nucleotide ribosomal RNA is filed under the name bacterium. RNAcentral describes it as "partial 16S ribosomal RNA". It matches the Rfam family "Bacterial small subunit ribosomal RNA", at positions 355 to 776 of the family's 1533-position model. The record is from RNAcentral.
UGGGGGAUAUUGCACAAUGGGCGAAAGCCUGAUGCAGCGACGCCGCGUGGGGGAUGAAGGCUUUCGGGUUGUAAACCUCUUUCGCUAUCGAACAAGGCCCGCUUAGGGUGGGUUGAGGGUAGGUGGAGAAGAAGCGCCGGCUAACUACGUGCCAGCAGCCGCGGUAAUACGUAGGGCGCGAGCGUUGUCCGGAAGUAUUGGGCGUAAAGGGCUUGUAGGCGGCUUGUUGCGCCUGCUGUGAAAACGCGGGGCUUAACUUCGCGCGUGCAGUGGGUACGGGCAGGCUUGAGUGUGGUAGGGGUGACUGGAAUUCCAGGUGUAGCGGUGGAAUGCGCAGAUAUCUGGAGGAACACCGAUGGCGAAGGAAGGUCACUGGGCCGUUACUGACGCUGAGGAGCGAAAGCAUGGGUAGCGAACAGG